This 292-nucleotide ribosomal RNA is filed under the name uncultured eukaryote. RNAcentral's name for it is "partial 18S ribosomal RNA". It matches the Rfam family "Eukaryotic small subunit ribosomal RNA", at positions 6 to 289 of the family's 1831-position model. The record is from RNAcentral.
GGUUGAUCCUGCCAGUAGUCAUAUGCUUGUUUUAAAGAUUAAGCCAUGCAUGUGUAAGUAUACGGCAUUAUAGCCGGAAACAGCGGACGGCUCCGUAUUAUCAGUCAUGAUCUACUUGAUUAUAAAAUUCUAUUUGGAUAACUAUAGAAAAGCUAUGGCUAAUACAUGCAAAAAGAUAUGAUGAAGUAAUUCAAAGUAUUGUAUAUAUUAGGUCCAAAAUCAAUGGUAGGAAACUAUCUAAAUUGAUGAAUCAUAGUAUAUAGACGAAGCGCAAGGGAGUAAAAUCUAGGCG